GAUGAACGCUGGCGGCGUGCCUAAUACAUGCAAGUCGAGCGAACGGACGAGAAGCUUGCUUCUCUGAUGUUAGCGGCGGACGGGUGAGUAACACGCGGAUAACCUACCUAUAAGACUGGGAUAACUUCGGGAAACCGGAGCUAAUACCGGAUAAUAUUUUGAACCGCAUGGUUCAAAAGUGAAAGACGGUCUUGCUGUCACUUAUAGAUGGAUCCGCGCUGCAUUAGCUAGUUGGUAAGGUAACGGCUUACCAAGGCAACGAUGCAUAGCCGACCUGAGAGGGUGAUCGGCCACACUGGAACUGAGACACGGUCCAGACUCCUACGGGAGGCAGCAGUAGGGAAUCUUCCGCAAUGGGCGAAAGCCUGACGGAGCAACGCCGCGCGAGUGAUGAAGGUCUUCGGAUCGUAAAACUCUGUUAUUAGGGAAGAACAUAUGUGUAAGUAACUGUGCACAUCUUGACGGUACCUAAUCAGAAAGCCACGGCUAACUACGUG
This 497-nucleotide ribosomal RNA is filed under the name uncultured bacterium. RNAcentral's name for it is "partial 16S ribosomal RNA". It matches the Rfam family "Bacterial small subunit ribosomal RNA", at positions 28 to 507 of the family's 1533-position model. The record is from RNAcentral.